GUCGCCGCCGCGCGGCCCCUUCUUCCGCUCCCAGAAUGCCGCGCGCGCCGGCCCCGACUGUAGCUCCCGUCGCCACUGUGAGGAGAGCAAGUGCCCUGAAAGGCGGGACCCGCCUCGGCUGACUGACUGCGGGUUUCCCAGGUCUUGAAAGCUAACGGGAUUCUGGAGACUGAUAAAGGUUGACCUCCUGGUGUUUGGCCUGUACCGUCACCCGCGGCGGCUUUAUGCCUCAGUUCUGGGAGAAUACCCCGCUGUAGUCCUGCGAGGCCAAAGACAGGGUCCCCAGUGCAGUUGACAAGUCAGUCUCUUCUCUUCGCUGCCAUUGAAGAAGUCAUGCUACAAGGGCCCCCAGUGCCAGUCCCUGCUCACAUCUGUGUGCAGUGCCGACCGCUCCACUGCUUUGAACCAGGAUAAAAGUGGAGACUUCCUUGAUGAAGGCACAGCUUUCCUGGGCUCCUUAGUUGAAUGCGGCUGUGCUCUGCCCUCUUCUGCUGUCCAGACCUUGGAUUCCUUGAAUUCUUCUGUGAACAAAAGAAGAAUAAAUUGAAAAAGAACCCUCACCUUGGGACUUGAAAAAGGAAACAAGGAACAAUUACAAAGUAGCCCUGUCUCAUGACCCUGUCCGAUUCUCAGGGAAAUGAACUUACAGGAGGCUGCAGGACAUCCCAGAAGAAGAGGUGAAAAGUUCCUGACUCUUGAGAAGAGAUUGGCCUCUCUGUUCUCCAUUUGAGGAAGAGCCCCGGUCUAGCACCCUGGUCUUUCCUGGACUGCUCAGAGACAGCAAGUAUGGUUUCCUGGACUGGAGGAGUCUGACCCUCAAUUUUCCCCAGGCACUGAUUUGAGAACCCAGACAUUGUGGAUGCUCAGAGGACAACUUUGAACCCCUGCUGUCAUCUUCUUCCUCGUCAGUUUUAGAGAGGGUAAGUACUGCUUCUUACUGAACUCAUUUUUUUCUAAUGGGCACCAAUGAAGCUGUCACCAAGUGUUUCAAAGGAUUUAAAAACUCCCUCAAAUAAUCCAGACAUGUUGUAGUUUCUACUUAUGUGUGAAUGUGU
Camelus dromedarius (Arabian camel) is the source of this 1055-nucleotide long non-coding RNA. RefSeq lists it as uncharacterized. Lineage: Eukaryota; Metazoa; Chordata; Mammalia; Artiodactyla; Camelidae. The record is from RefSeq and is a predicted model, not a curated record. The transcript has 5 exons.